AGUGAACGCUGGCGGUAGGCCUAACACAUGCAAGUCGAACGGCAGCACAGUAAGAGCUUGCUCUUACGGGUGGCGAGUGGCGGACGGGUGAGGAAUACAUCGGCAUCUACUUUUUCGUGGGGGAUAACGUAGGGAAACUUACGCUAAUACCGCAUACGACCUACGGGUGAAAGCAGGGGAUCUUCGGACCUUGCGCGAUUGAAUGAGCCGAUGUCGGAUUAGCUAGUUGGCGGGGUAAAGGCCCACCAAGGCGACGAUCUGUAGCUGGUCUGAGAGGAUGAUCAGCCACACUGGAACUGAGACACGGCCCAGACUCCUACGGGAGGCAGCAGUGGGGAAUAUUGGACAAUGGGCGAAAGCCUGAUCCAGCAAUACCGCGUGGGUGAUGAAGGCCUUCGGGUUGUAAAGCCCUUUUGUUGGGAAAGAAAAGCAGCAGGUUAAUACCCCGCUGUUCUGACGGUACCCAAAGAAUAAGCACCGGCUAACUUCGUG
Molecule: ribosomal RNA, 492 nt
Filed under: uncultured bacterium
Lineage: Bacteria
Description: partial 16S ribosomal RNA
Rfam family: Bacterial small subunit ribosomal RNA
Source: RNAcentral